This 660-nucleotide ribosomal RNA is filed under the name Triticum aestivum (bread wheat). RNAcentral's name for it is "partial small subunit ribosomal RNA". The record is from RNAcentral. Lineage: Eukaryota; Viridiplantae; Streptophyta; Magnoliopsida; Poales; Poaceae.
AUGGCCUCCCCAGCAGCAGCGUGCAGCCUCCCGACCCCCACAGCGCCUUCCCUCGACGCCAAACCCGUGGACGAGGCCGGCCUCCGCCGCUUGAGACGCCGCCGGCGCCGCCGCUGCAUCUGCAUCUGCGCCCUGGUCACCCUCGGCGUGCUCCUGCUCCUGGGCGUCACCCUCCUCGUCCUCUUCCUCACCGUGUUCCGCGUGCGCGACCCCACCACGCGCCUGCUCUCCACCCGCCUCGUCGGCCUCGCGCCCAGCCUCACCCACCCAAACUUCACGCUGCUGCUCACCGUGGCCGUGCACAACCCCAACCCGGCCUCCUUCGCCUACGCCUCCGGCACCACCGGCCUCUGGUACCGGGGCGCCCACGUCGGCGACGCCCAGGUCGACCCCGGACGCAUCCCUAGCAAGGGGGACGGGGUCGUGCAGCUGGAGAUGACGGUGCUCACCGCCGGCUUCACCAAGGACAUGGCGCAGCUGAUCAGGGACAUCGAGGCCGGGUCGCUGCCGCUGGACGCCAACGCCAGGAUCCCGGGGAGGGUGGUCGUCUUGGGCGUGUUCAAGCUCAACGUCGUGGCCUACUCUGACUGCCACAUCGUCGUCGGCUUCCCGGACAUGGAGAUCCGAGGCCAGGACUGCCGCGACCACGCUAAGCUCUGA